Molecule: ribosomal RNA, 476 nt
Filed under: uncultured bacterium
Lineage: Bacteria
Description: SSU rRNA
Rfam family: Bacterial small subunit ribosomal RNA
Source: RNAcentral
AGGACGAACGCUGGCGGCGUGCUUAACACAUGCAAGUCGAACGGUAAGGCCUUUCGGGGUACACGAGUGGCGAACGGGUGAGUAACACGUGGGUGAUCUGCCCUGCACUUUGGGAUAAGCCUGGGAAACUGGGUCUAAUACCGAAUAUGACCAUUGGUUGCAUGACUGGUGGUGGAAAGCUUUUGCGGUGUGGGAUGGGCCCGCGGCCUAUCAGCUUGUUGGUGGGGUUAAGGCCUACCAAGGCGACGACGGGUAGCCGGCCUGAGAGGGUGUCCGGCCACACUGGGACUGAGAUACGGCCCAGACUCCUACGGGAGGCAGCAGUGGGGAAUAUUGCACAAUGGGCGCAAGCCUGAUGCAGCGACGCCGCGUGAGGGACGACGGCCUUCGGGUUGUAAACCUCUUUCAGUAGGACGAAGCGCAAGUGACGGUACCUACGAGAAGAAGGACCGGACCAACUACGCGCCAGCAGCCGC